This 486-nucleotide ribosomal RNA is filed under the name uncultured bacterium. RNAcentral describes it as "partial 16S ribosomal RNA". It matches the Rfam family "Bacterial small subunit ribosomal RNA", at positions 28 to 507 of the family's 1533-position model. The record is from RNAcentral.
GAUGAACGCUAGCGGCAGGCUUAACACAUGCAAGUCGAGGGGCAGCGCGGGAUAGCAAUAUCCUGGCGGCGACCGGCGGAAGGGUGCGUAACGCGUGAGCGACAUGCCCGUUGCCCGGGGACAACCGGUGGAAACGCCGACUAAUCCCCGAUGGGAUAUUGUGCCGCAUGGCACGAUAUUGAAAGUUACGGCGGCGACGGAUUGGCCCGCGUCCGAUUAGCUUGUUGGCGGGGUAACGGCCCCCCAAGGCUGCGAUCGGUAGGGGUUCUGAGAGGAAGGCCCCCCACAAUGGGACUGAGACACGGCCCAUACUCCUACGGGAGGCAGCAGUGAGGAAUAUUGGUCAAUGGGCGGAAGCCUGAACCAGCCAUGCCGCGUGCGGGAAGGAGGCCCUAUGGGCUGUGAACCGCUUUUGCCUGGGGGCAAUAAGGGCGUCGCGCACGUCCGAUGAGAGUACCAGGCGAAUAAGCAUCGGCUAACUCCGUG